UCGAGAAUCUUCCGCAAUGGGCGCAAGCCUGACGGAGCGACGCCGCGUGUAGGAUGAAGGCCUUCGGGUUGUAAACUACUGUCACUCGUGAAGAACGUUCACUCCAAUCAAGUGAGCUGACGUUAGCGAGAGAGGAAGUCACGGCUAACUUCGUGCCAGCAGCCGCGGUAAGACGAAGGUGGCAACCGUUGCUCGGAUUCACUGGGCAUAAAGCGCGCGUAGGUGGCUUUGCAGGUCAUCGGUGAAAAACCCCGGCACAACCGGGGAACUGCCGAUGAAACCGCAUUGCUUGAGGUCGGGAGAGGAGAGUGGAACUCUUGGUGUAGCGGUGAAAUGCGUAGAUAUCAAGAGGAACGCCGGUGGCGAAAGCGGCUCUCUGGACCGAUCCUGACACUGAGGCGCGAAAGCUAGGGGAGCAAACAGGAUUAGAUACCCCGGUAGUCC
This 444-nucleotide ribosomal RNA is filed under the name uncultured bacterium. RNAcentral describes it as "bacterial SSU rRNA". It matches the Rfam family "Bacterial small subunit ribosomal RNA", at positions 355 to 796 of the family's 1533-position model. The record is from RNAcentral.